RNAcentral lists this ribosomal RNA (1885 nucleotides) under Morganella morganii. Its description in RNAcentral is "partial 23S ribosomal RNA". It matches the Rfam family "Bacterial large subunit ribosomal RNA", at positions 797 to 2925 of the family's 2925-position model. The record is from RNAcentral. Lineage: Bacteria; Pseudomonadati; Pseudomonadota; Gammaproteobacteria; Enterobacterales; Morganellaceae.
UUAGCGGAUGACUUGUGGCUGGGGGUGAAAGGCCAAUCAAACCGGGAGAUAGCUGGUUCUCCCCGAAAGCUAUUUAGGUAGCGCCUCGUGAACUCAUCUUCGGGGGUAGAGCACUGUUUCGGCUAGGGGGUCAUCCCGACUUACCAACCCGAUGCAAACUACGAAUACCGAAGAAUGUUAUCACGGGAGACACACGGCGGGUGCUAACGUCCGUCGUGAAGAGGGAAACAACCCAGACCGCCAGCUAAGGUCCCAAAGUCAUGGUUAAGUGGGAAACGAUGUGGGAAGGCACAGACAGCCAGGAUGUUGGCUUAGAAGCAGCCAUCAUUUAAAGAAAGCGUAAUAGCUCACUGGUCGAGUCGGCCUGCGCGGAAGAUGUAACGGGGCUAAGGAGCGUUCUGUAAGCCUGCGAAGGUGUGCUGUGAGGCAUGCUGGAGGUAUCAGAAGUGCGAAUGCUGACAUAAGUAACGAUAAAGCGGGUGAAAAGCCCGCUCGCCGGAAGACCAAGGGUUCCUGUCCAACGUUAAUCGGGGCAGGGUGAGUCGACCCCUAAGGCGAGGCCGAAAGGCGUAGUCGAUGGGAAACAGGUUAAUAUUCCUGUACUUGGUGUUACUGCGAAGGGGGGACGGAGAAGGCUAUGUUAGCCGGGCGACGGUUGUCCCGGUUUAAGCAUGUAGGCUGGUUGUCCAGGCAAAUCCGGAUAAUCAAGGCUGAGGUGUGAUGACGAGGUACUACGGUGCUGAAGUAACAAAUGCCCUGCUUCCAGGAAAAGCCUCUAAGCAUCAGGUAACAUCAAAUCGUACCCCAAACCGACACAGGUGGUCAGGUAGAGAAUACCAAGGCGCUUGAGAGAACUCGGGUGAAGGAACUAGGCAAAAUGGUGCCGUAACUUCGGGAGAAGGCACGCUGGUGUGUAGGUGAAGUCCCUGCGGAUGGAGCUGAGACCAGUCGAAGAUACCAGCUGGCUGCAACUGUUUAUUAAAAACACAGCACUGUGCAAACACGAAAGUGGACGUAUACGGUGUGACGCCUGCCCGGUGCCGGAAGGUUANNNNNNNNNNNNNNNNNNNNNNNNNNNNNNNNNNNNNNNNNNAGAUGCAGUGUACCCGCGGCAAGACGGAAAGACCCCGUGAACCUUUACUAUAGCUUGACACUGAACAUUGAGCCUUGAUGUGUAGGAUAGGUGGGAGGCUUUGAAGCGUGGACGCCAGUCUGCGUGGAGCCAACCUUGAAAUACCACCCUUUAAUGUUUGAUGUUCUAACGUUGGCCCCUGACCGGGGUUGCGGACAGUGUCUGGUGGGUAGUUUGACUGGGGCGGUCUCCUCCCAAAGCGUAACGGAGGAGCACGAAGGUUAGCUAAUCCUGGUCGGACAUCAGGAGGUUAGUGCAAUGGCAUAAGCUAGCUUGACUGCGAGCGUGACGGCGCGAGCAGGUGCGAAAGCAGGUCAUAGUGAUCCGGUGGUUCUGAAUGGAAGGGCCAUCGCUCAACGGAUAAAAGGUACUCCGGGGAUAACAGGCUGAUACCGCCCAAGAGUUCAUAUCGACGGUGGUACGCGAGCUGGGUUUAGAACGUCGUGAGACAGUUCGGUCCCUAUCUGCCGUGGGCGCUGGAGAAUUGAGGGGGGCUGCUCCUAGUACGAGAGGACCGGAGUGGACGCAUCACUGGUGUUCGGGUUGUCAUGCCAAUGGCACUGCCCGGUAGCUAAAUGCGGAAGAGAUAAGUGCUGAAAGCAUCUAAGCACGAAACUUGCCCCGAGAUGAGUUCUCCCUGAGACUUUAAGUCUCCUGAAGGAACGUUGAAGACGACGACGUUGAUAGGCCGGGUGUGUAAGCGCAGCGAUGCGUUGAGCUAACCGGUACUAAUGAACCGUGAGGCUUAACCUU